Molecule: long non-coding RNA, 257 nt
Organism: Drosophila biarmipes
Lineage: Eukaryota; Metazoa; Arthropoda; Insecta; Diptera; Drosophilidae
Exons: 2
Source: RefSeq, a predicted model, not a curated record
AAUGCAGGAAUUCUUAGUGAGCGUUGGCGGCCAUAUUUAUUUUCGCGUUCUUCUACUCGCUUGGUGACCAGACCUGCAUGUGCGAUGCUCGUCACGGACGAUAAUUGUACACAGAAGGUGAACGAACCACAAGAGGAGUAGUGACCAACAAGUAUCAACAUUAAAUUUAGAUGAAUGGACUAACAUUAAAUGCGCAUGUUUACUUAAGUGAAAAAAAAAACAAAAAACUUCGACAACAAUAAAUCAAUGCCAAAAUA